UGAAGAGGAACUCCAGCGGCUA
RNAcentral lists this non-coding RNA (22 nucleotides) under Arabidopsis thaliana (thale cress). The record is from RNAcentral. Lineage: Eukaryota; Viridiplantae; Streptophyta; Magnoliopsida; Brassicales; Brassicaceae.